UCAAUCCCAUCUUGACACACGCACCGACAAGUCAAGUACUUGACUACACCCAGUAGCCUUCCAUCACUGAAUUAGAAAUUCAAGUAGUCCAGUGCCUAAGUGUAGUGAGUUGCUUGCAAGUCACUGUGGCGGUCUUAGGUCGGAGGGACAGUUAUACCCAUAUCCCAUCGGAGCAAAUCUUGACAGCAGAAAUAGCUUCGGAGUCAUCACAUUU
This 214-nucleotide long non-coding RNA is filed under the name Elaeis guineensis (African oil palm). Its description in RNAcentral is "long non-coding RNA (EGUI_LNC072764)". Lineage: Eukaryota; Viridiplantae; Streptophyta; Magnoliopsida; Arecales; Arecaceae. The record is from RNAcentral.